GAAAUGCGAUAAGUAGUGUGAAUUGCAGAAUUCAGUGAAUCAUCGAAUCUUUGAACGCACAUUGCGCCCUUUGGUAUUCCUUAGGGCAUGCCUGUUCGAGCGUCAUCUAAACCUUCAAGCCCUGCUUGGUGAUGGGUGCCUGUCCCGCCUCCGCGCGCGGACUCACCUCAAAUCCAUUGGCGGCCCCCGCGUCGGCCACGAGCGCAGCAGAAACGCGAACUCGUGAGCCCGUCCGGGCGGCUCCCAGAAGCUACACCCACCCAGUUUGAACUCGGAUCAGGUAGGGAUACCCGCUGAACUUAAGC
Molecule: unclassified non-coding RNA, 305 nt
Filed under: plant metagenome
Description: partial contains 5.8S ribosomal RNA, internal transcribed spacer 2, and large subunit ribosomal RNA
Rfam family: 5.8S ribosomal RNA (bases 1-105)
Source: RNAcentral